Heterocephalus glaber (naked mole-rat) is the source of this 74-nucleotide small nucleolar RNA. Ensembl annotates it as small nucleolar RNA, C/D box 113-8. The record is from Ensembl. NCBI's taxonomy places the organism in Eukaryota, Metazoa, Chordata, Mammalia, Rodentia, Bathyergidae.
CAGACCAGUGAUGAGAUUGGAGGGUGUCUGAAUAAAACAUUUUGAUUAGAGCAAUCUGGCACUCUGAGGUCCAU